AGGUGGAUUUAAACAUCUGAUGCAUGGGAUCCUCUGGUCUUCAACUGACAUCAGCUUAAUGGGACAAAAGUCUGCUGCAGGAGAAGAGAAAAAACUUUGGGGAAACACCAGCUUCAUCAGCAGCUAAUAAUGAAACAGAGUAAUUUAUGGGGUGAACAUAAUGAAAAGAAGGCAGAAAAGAAGUAUGAUGAAGUGUCCACUCAGCAGUGUUUUCCCUGAGUUUUUGCAGAAAUCCUCUCCAAAGAUGCAGCUCCAUCUAUCCAGCUCCUUUGACGUGCAUGACAUAAAUAAAAUAACUACAAGGGAGCGUGAAAGGAGGAAGAAAACUUGGGGGUGCAUGCCCCUUCCUGCUCCAUUGGCAGGUUUCUCAUGAGAGGUUUCACACAGACUGUCCUCUGCUUUAUUGGCCAGGGAGUUGACGUAGAUCUCACACUCACAUUUGGUCAUGGCCUGGAAAAUGCCCCCUGGUCCAGGUGGGGUCGAAUAUGAUGGAGAGUGUUGGUUAGUUCAUGUACCUUGGCUACAAGCAGAGUUCAAAUGGAUGAAGCAAACUGGGCGUUCUUCGACAAAUGGGUCUCGUCACCUGCUGUAUGAAAUCCAUGUCUUGCUUAUGGAUGCAAAAACAUCUUUGCACUGAGACAAAGUUCAGGACCUAUCAAACCUGUGUACUAUCUGUAUUGCUGGAUGGGUCGGAAACGUGGACUCUCUACCACGCAGAUAUGGACCAGCUAGAGGCAUUCCAUAUGUACUGUCAGCACCAAAUCCCGAGCAUAAAGUGAUUUGACUUUGUGCAAAGUGUCACAAACUCUCAAAGGGCUGGCCUUUCCUCAGUCACUCUCUAUACUCAACAGCAGUGUUCUGUGCUCUUUGGCCAUGUUGCCAGGAUGGACAAAAAUGCCCCAGCACACCAGGCUUUCAAACUGUCCAUUGACAUGCAAAGGGGUACAACCCGAAACUUACCAGGCACCACCUGCAGGGCCAUUCCACAAAUUUACAGAUUCACAGGAUUGAGCCAGCUCAGGGAAGUUCACUUCACAAUGUCUGUUGUGACACCAUCAAGCAUAGUCACUCUUGUUGGUGCAAUGGUUCUUAGUAGACAGUGUGUGUUCGCUUGAUUAUUGAAAGCUAUCACCUUCCGCUCUCCUGGCAUAAGGGAGUUUGUGGCCACAUUGCACCACCAUAGCAUCCAUCUGUUGGUCUUUGCACUGCUGGGGCCUCUGCUCCCAAAACCUUGGCUGAAUGGAGCCCAAUAUUGGUAGCUUGAACAAAUGGACAGCUAAGGGGGAAUAUGAAAAUGGUCUGCAUGUAUUUGAAUGGAGUUAACAAAGUGGGGGAGAUGAAUUGUUUAGGGGCGCCUAAGGAGAGAUCAGUUGGUUUAAUUAGUAUGAAACUAAGCACUGGGAAAUUUAGGCAGGACAUAAAUAAUAAUAAAAAUCCUAAAAAGUAUAACAUAUUGUGGAAGAGUCUUUGGUGGAAAUGGUGGAACUUGAAACUAGAGUCAUUUGAAACUAGAAAACACAGAAAAAUAUAAUGUCAGGAACAAUACUACACAGAUAUGGAGAUAAGUUUUUUUUUUUCCUUUUUAAUUUCCAUGCUUCAGUACUUCAGGAAGAGAUUUGCAGGCAAAGACUGAGGGGUAAUGGCACCAUGCUGAUAUAUAACUAUUAGAUUUGGAGGGACUGCUAUUAUGCAGUGAUUUCUGCUUAUAUAAGGUAAAGGCCUGGCUGAAAUUGUUUUUCUCUUUUGCAUAUCUUCAUACUUAGUUAGUAAAAUGUCACUUCUGAUACUUGUGAUAAGAGAAAACAAAACCAGAUCUAAAUGUAUAAUCUUCCAAUAAAGUCAACUUUUUCCA
Long non-coding RNA from Chelonia mydas (Green sea turtle), 1852 nucleotides. RefSeq lists it as uncharacterized. The record is from RefSeq and is a predicted model, not a curated record. The transcript has 4 exons. NCBI's taxonomy places the organism in Eukaryota, Metazoa, Chordata, Testudines, Cheloniidae.